Molecule: non-coding RNA, 104 nt
Organism: Acanthosepion pharaonis
Lineage: Eukaryota; Metazoa; Mollusca; Cephalopoda; Sepiida; Sepiidae
Source: the annotation of a GenBank genome assembly
ACAGCCACAUCUAUUUGAAACACCGGUUCCUGCACGAUGACCGAAGUUAAGCAAUGCCGGGCCGGAUCAGUACCUAGAUGGGUGACCGCUUGGGAAAAUCAAGC